This 1239-nucleotide small RNA is filed under the name Pongo abelii (Sumatran orangutan). RNAcentral describes it as "sense overlapping". The record is from RNAcentral. Lineage: Eukaryota; Metazoa; Chordata; Mammalia; Primates; Hominidae.
AACAGCUUGAUUGGAGAGGAGAAGGCUGCCAGUGACCACAGGGGUGCAGCCUGUCCCCUGCAUGGUCCCCACGAUGCAUCAGGAGCUGGGAGCAUCUAGGGGCAAAAUAAGAAAUGAGGCCAGGACUGAGCUUUUCGUUUGCCAAUUUUGACCUGCAAAGCCUGGGGCUGCUUCCCCCUAGCACAGGGGAAGGACAGCCUGAAGGACUGUGGGGACAUGCAUCACGUCAGGUUUCCUUGGGUCCAGGGAGCAGCUCGGCUGACCGGCAGAUGAGGUUGUGGCCACCCCGCUGCUGGCUAACUGCAGCUACUUCUGCCAGCCAGUGGACUAGAGAUGGAGCAAGCAUGGAAUGAGGGUAUGGCAGGGAGCAGGAAGCAAGCCUGGAGAGGGUUAAGAGGAACAACUUCACAACAAUCAGAGGGCAAGGAGGCAUCUUCCUGGAGACAGGUAGGCACUGUGGAAUCAGCAGUGCGUAGAACAGUGAGGAAUUAGGGCUGAACCCAGCCCAGGUGGGACAAGCCCUGGCACCAGCCGACUGCAGUCUGAUGGAACUUCCCCUUCCUGCCCAGCAGAUGGCGAGCGUGUGCUGCUGGUGCCUCUUUCCAAAGGAUGUUGAAUUGUUUGACAGGUGUUCUUUACUUUAUGAAUGAAACCAGAGCAGCCCACCUUCCUGCAUCUCUACCACCAUGGCACCAUGCCCUGUGAAGGGUGAGCUGGAGUCAAAUACGUAGCAGGCAGCCAGGGUCAGUUUGUGGCCACUGCUGCCUCCUCUUCCUAUGGUCUCCUCACUGAGUGCCCCUUCCCUGUUGGGUUCAACAUGUCUAUGCUCCUGUAAGCCCUCAGCCUCCUCGUUCUCUUCCUCAACUUCUACCACCAGACACACCUGAGAGGCAAGCAAGAGAGGCUAAACUAGGAGCAGGACCCAGGGACUGAAACCAGCACAGCAUCCCCACAGAGAAUUGGGUGGAAGGCAGCAUGGCUUCCAGCUUACUGGUGCCGAGCAGAUUCCCCUGGGUCUCCAUUGUAUCCUCUGAAGGAAGGAGGAGGAUUGCCUUCUGUCCAGAUCUCAGGAUCAAACAAAUAGGUCCAACUUCCUGUGCUCACUUCAGUUAGAGCACUUCUCAUGUGACUUUGUAGCUUUGUGUGCAUCUCCUUCCUCUACUAGACCUAAGCCCCUCACUGGAAGGACUCUCUUAUUCUUGAUGUUCCCCACAUCUGGAAUUUCAAUAAACAUCUCAA